Molecule: RNA transcript, 2679 nt
Organism: Cyclopterus lumpus (lumpfish)
Lineage: Eukaryota; Metazoa; Chordata; Actinopteri; Perciformes; Cyclopteridae
Gene: tmem183a
Gene name: transmembrane protein 183A
Exons: 7
Source: RefSeq, a predicted model, not a curated record
GUUACGUCAUUCCAUGAUGGCUGAAGAUCCCGGCGGAACAUUUUUCAUUUUCUUUCUCAUUUUUCUUUCUUUCUCUCUACCUCAGCUUGCCAGAGAGACAUGGCAGGGCCCACAGGCCCGUUAAGCGUUCACAGAUCAUUCGUGUCGACAUGCCCAAGAAAGGGAACCGAAAACGGCUGAAAUUUAGAGCCGGGGACGUUUGUUCAGAUUCAGUAACUGUUGCUGAUUAUGCUGAUGCCGACCCGGCCGUUGUGAAGUCAGGGAGGGUGAAGAAGGCUGUUGCAAAUGCAGUUGAGAAGGAAGGUGACAUUAACUUUGAAUGGUGUCACAACCUUUAAUGGCGUCACAACCUGGCAUUUCAGUAUAGUAAUAUUUGUCAUUACAGUCUCCUUUUGCUAUGUCUGGACAGAUGAUUAAAAUGUAUAACUUCACACUGUGUGUCAGUGAAAUUACUCUGUGGGCUGGAGGCAUCUCAGGGUGCUGUAGAGGAGGUCACAGCUGACGCUUUGGACCGCAGUGAUGACCUAGACCCUGAAAAGGAUGGAGAAAAUGAUAUUAAAGUGGCCCACAAGAAGAAAAACAAGAGAAGAAAGGAAAGCAGUGAGAGCAGUGAUGGGGGGGAGUAUCCAGUGGAUAUUUGGUUAAUGCUCGCCGCCUAUAUUCGGCCUGAGGAUGUGUGCAGAUUUGCUUUAAUUUGUAGGAAUGCCUGGAUAGUCACAUGCACCGCUGCGUUUUGGACCAGGCUCUACAGAAGGCACUACAAGAUUGAUGCUGACCUGCCAUUCCGUCUCCAGCCUGACUGUAUUGACAGGGCGUGCUCUUUACGUGCCCGUGUGAUUCUCUCCCUUUUUCAUUUGUAUGAGCCAUUCAGCUUGCGUGUCUCAAAAAUCCCUGCCCUGCCAGAAUCCACACCCACAACCUUGCUUAACUCCAAGAAAGGUGUUAGGUACUCGGCCUGAGGCAUUGUGGGAGUUCAACUUCAAGUUUCUAAAGCAGCAGGGACAAAGUAAGACUGGUUGUGCAAAGUCCUUGUGCAUGCCCAGACAAUACGAAGAUGUCCACACGAACCCAGACUCUGACUGCUACAUGCUUCAGGUCACCACCCUCAACUUCAUCUUCACCCCUGUGGUUAUGGGCAUGACACUGUCCCUGUUCACAAUCAACGUUAGCACAGACAUGCGACACCACCGUGUUCGUCUGGUGUUCCAGGACGCACCACUCCAGCGGGGGAAGAAGAGGGGGGAUCAGGGCGGGACCCAGGUGGUGUUGGACCCAGUACACGGUGUAAAGCUCAUGGACUGGUGGCACCCACAGUACCCCUCCUCACCCUACAUAUAGGAAUCCUGCCCUGUUGGCAGAACGUCACAUCAAGGACCCUGCUGUUAUCACACCUCCCUCAUCAGAAAUUGAUAUUGGAUGACUCUGCAAAACCCUGGAUUAUUUUCAUUCACAGUUGAUUCAACAUUUCACAUUUCAAUCAUUGUUGGAUGUUAAAGAAACCCAAAGUUGACUGGCCUGAGCUGGGAUGCAAACGCUACCUUCCAGUGUCAAAAUCAAACAUUGUUGCAUGCCCCAGCAACCACUCUAACCUCCACACUCUACUUAUAGUUUAAUUUGAACAUCAUUGUUCUUCCUGGAUGUAAUAAUUUACCACAUAAUUGUCCUGUAUGAACACUAUUCCUUGGAAGACUGAUCUUGUAAUCUAUGUAAACAUAUCUGCCAUAUGAGCAGUCCCUCUACUUUUUCAAUCGUCGUCAGCUCCAACAGUCCUGUAGUCUUUUUGCAUAGAAGUAGGGUUCAAUAUUCUGGAAAAGAAAUCAGAAAGGACAGCUGGGAGAGAUCUCACUGCAAAUUGUUUAACAUUGAUAUCUUAGUCAAAAGUGUAUAAUGUUUUACAGUAUAGAAAAUACUGUGAUUAGAUCACAGUGAUAGAUGAUAUAUAUAUUGCUCAACACUAUAGACAUGGCAGAGUGGAACAUGUAUGUUUAGAGCUACCAGUUGCAUAACGAGUCCCAAUUCUGACAUUAUUUUACAUUAAACAUGUAAAGGUUACACAAGUAUCUUGAUUUUGCAUUGGUUUUGAAUUUGUACAAACAGCAUCAACAGAGUUGUACUCUUUUAAAAUCAUAUUUUUUUUCUUUAUGUAUUUAGCUUAAGCCAGUAUCACUUAGUAUUAUGUGAAUAUUAAUGACAAUGCUCUUUACGGAAGGGGCCAAAUGGAUGAUUUACCUCAGACUUCUACUAAUCUGCUGAUUUGGGUGUGGUUUCUUUUCUUUGUAGUUUUUCUAAACAAAAAAUGGUUGUCUUGUUCCUGAAUAUGUGAGCCACAUACCCUAAUGCCUGCUGUGAAAUCUCAUUCUCUUGAGUUGGUGUUGAAUCAUACCAAUUACAUGCUUGAUUAUGAUUGGGAGAGAGUUACCAUUGAUGUAUCCACCCAUCAGAUGCAGUCAAAAUAGUUAAACCUGGAUUGAUUAACACAUAUACAUAUAUUGUGAAUGAAAAAACAAUCGAUUAACCACAAAUCAUUUACAUUUCUAAGAUUGAAGGUUGAAAACAGCUGGAUGUUGUGGUUAUCAGCAGUUGAUUGUUUUAAGUGGUUAGUGUAGUUUCAUCAGAUGAGUUAAUUGAUAAAAAAUUGUACUCCACACACAGAAAUAAAAUCUGAAACAUUCAAAAUGC